Molecule: transfer RNA, 71 nt
Filed under: Candidatus Enterousia avicola
Lineage: Bacteria; Pseudomonadati; Pseudomonadota; Alphaproteobacteria
Also listed under: 5 other names
Rfam family: tRNA
About the family: Transfer RNA (tRNA) molecules are approximately 80 nucleotides in length.
Source: RNAcentral
GGGUCAUAGCUCAGUUGGUAGAGCACCUGCUUUGCAAGCAGGGGGUCGUCAGUUCGAGUCUGAUUGGCUCC